RNAcentral lists this ribosomal RNA (1020 nucleotides) under Bacillus tequilensis. RNAcentral's name for it is "bacterial SSU rRNA". It matches the Rfam family "Bacterial small subunit ribosomal RNA", at positions 45 to 1027 of the family's 1533-position model. The record is from RNAcentral. Lineage: Bacteria; Bacillati; Bacillota; Bacilli; Caryophanales; Bacillaceae.
AUUUUAAUACGUGACGUGUCGAGCGGACAGAUGGGAGCUUGCUCCCUGAUGUUAGCGGCGGACGGGUGAGUAACACGUGGGUAACCUGCCUGUAAGACUGGUAUAACUCCGGGAAACCGGGGCUAAUACCGGAUGGUUGUUUGAACCGCAGGGUUCAAACAUAAAAGGUGGCUUCCGCUACCACUUACAGAUGGACCCGCGGCGCAUUAGCUAGUUGGAGAGGUAAUGUCUCACCAAGGCAACGAUGCGUAGCCGACCUGAGAGGGUGAUCGGCCACACUGGGACUGACACACGGCCCACACUCCUACGGGAGGCAGCAGUAGGGAAUCUUCCGCAAUGGACGAAAGUCUGACGGAACCACGCCGCGUGAGUGAUGAAGGUUUUCAGAUCAUAAAUCUCUGUUGUUAGGAAAAAACAAGUACCGUUCAAAUAGGGCGGUACCUUGACGGUACCUAACCAGAAAGCCACGGCUAACUACGUGCCAGCACCCGCGAUAAUACGUAGGUGGCAAGCGUUGUCCGGAAUUAUUGCGCGUAGAGGUCUCGCGCGCGGUUUCUUAUGUCUGAUGUGAAAGCCCCGCGGCUCAACCGGGAGAGGGUCAUUGAAAACUGGGGAACUUGAGUGCAAAAGAGGAGAGUGCAAUUCCACGUGUAGCGGUGAAAUGCAUAGAGAUGUGGAGGAACACCAGUGGCGAAGGCGACUCUCUGGUCUGUUACUGACGCUGAGGAGAGAAAGCGUGGAGAGCGAACAGGUAUUAUAUACCCUGGUACUCCACGCCGUAAACUAUGAGUGCUAAGUGUGGGGGUGUUUUCCGCCCCUUUAGUGCUGCAGCUAACCCCAUUACACACUCCGCCCGGCGGAGUACGGGCCGCGAGACUUUAUACUCAAAAGUUAUUGACGGCGGGCCCGCAACCCCCUGUGGACCAUGUUGUUUUUAUUUACAAUUGCUAACGCGAAAAAAUAAUAACGGGUCGUGGACUUCCUCUAAACUAUCAUAAGAAAUAGAGAGGUCCCCCUUCC